GGUAGGAAGGUGGGUAUUUUCAUUUUUCUUUAGCUAUUUUGUUUCAAGUUUGCUUAUCUUUAUUUACCUUGGCAAAAAGCGGUAGUUCGUUUAAAUAACCUAUUUUCUUCCAGGCAAAACUUUUUUACUUUUUCAGAACGUUUUUAAUAGUCUUGUGUAAACGUUAAUUAAUCUUGAAUGUAUAACCAUCAAUUUAUAUUGUAUAAUUUAAAAAAUUAAGGAUAUCGACGCGACACGACAAAUUUUCAAUUUCCCGCUCUUUGUCUAUAAUCAAAAACAUAUAAUCGAGAUUUAUCAGUAAAAUUUUUAUCUUAUCUACUAUCUAAAGGCGAAAAAUUGACCUAUCCACAGGAUACAGAAUACUUCAGUCUUAACCAGGCAAUAUCGAGCCUUCUCGCGACUGCAUCUUCCCGCACAUCUUAUAACUUUCCCCGUCUAUGAAAACGUGCGCAGAGCCCUCAUUGGCGUGAUACACUUUCCCGCCUCGACCGGUACGAGAACAAAUUAAUUUAUCAUUUCGUAGUGUUACGGUUAACAGCAUUCUGGAGAAAUAAUGGCCAGUAAUAAAGGCACGUAGCAAGCCUAAGGAACUCCUGUGUACCUACGAAGAGAGUUAAAGAGAGAGAAAAGAUCAUCCGGGGGGGGAAACGACGAGAAAAGUGCGAGCGAGGCGAAGCGAGGAAAGUGCGUAAAUCGGAGCGAGAACGAGAAUAUAAAAGACAGGUAGACAAGGAGAGAAGAUAUACGAACCGCGAUGCGCAUGCGCGCAGCAUGGGUGUAUCUUCAACCACCCUUUCCAGUUACCCCCACCCGUUCAACGGACUCGCCUGUUUUCCUCGUCGCUCGUCCCUCGUCCACUGCUCGAUUCAGUCACCGGGCCGUUUCGCGAGAGGAGAGUUUCCGCGCCUUUUCUCUCCGUGUCUCUAGCUUUUUCCUCGUUCCAUAGUCGUGCGGAAGUUGUGGAUUUUUUUACAUCUGCGUGUAGACAACGAUUGAAAAAAAUUUAUCAAGGGACGAGUAAUAGUGCGCGAGUUUAUGUGUAUCGUUUUCCAACCAAAUCUGACGAGUGGCCCACUUUCGGUACGGUCACAUGUGUGCAUCGUGUCAUCGCGAAAUGUCAUCGGCAUGAGAAUAUUCCCGACAUUAUAGCCAGUAGAUUUGCUGAGCGUCGAGUGUGUGUUCUCGAACGAAAUCCGAAUUGAGGUUAAGUUCAGUGUGGUUCGCGGCACUCGUGCGAACUGCUGUUUCGACGCUAUUACGAUUUUAAAACAGCGAUGUUUUAGAAGAUUUAUGACGCCCCGUGUGAACGAAAAUUACAGAUCUGUAGAAAAAAUCGUGGAUGGAGUAUGAAUCUGAUGCGCAGCGAGUACGGAACAGACAUAAAAUUGACGUUCUUUACGAGGAUCGCUGCUAAUUCGUGACAUUGACGAUCGAUCGAGUGGCGCUAUCGACUGGAGGGAUUUUUUUCCUUUUCGACGUACUUGCAUAGGACGCGUGUCGCGUGAUAUUGAAAUGAGGUUGCAUUAAUUUAAGUGUGAAUGUGUUCGUUGAGUAAAGAGUGUGAUGUUUACGUGACAGCCGGUUAGAAACAACCGCGUGAGAGCGUGGCGGGAAUUUCGAACGUGUAGUUUCUUAAUGAUGCAACGUGGCUCGCGACGCUAUGCUAGUAUGACAUCGAUAUAUCGAAAACGUUGACGGUGUAUCCGAUACGGUAUCGAUAGUGUACACGAAGUGAAGUGGGCUUUGGCGCGUAAACGCGUUCUCUUGAUUACGUUACAUAAUUAAUUAAUCAUACCAUCGUCAGUAGUUCACAAACGUUGCAUAAUUAAGUGAAGCCGCCAGAAGUCGGGACAUGUUACUGAAUACCACAUCUUAAAGAAAUGAUAACCCUGGACGGAGGUUGCCGGUCGGAAGUGAGGAAGAUGCAACUCGGUUAUAAGAGUGUUCUGUGACAGCAAUUACCGUGACAUGAAGUGAAGGAACGGGCCGUUUAAAGAGACUGUGCAAAAUCCUGGAAGGCCACCGCAAAGAAGCAAGAUUUCGAAAUUUGUCCGCGUGGUGGAACGUCGACCCGAGUAGUGGGUGAGUGAAGUUUUCAAAUUUUUUUCAAGACGCGCGCCAUCCUCUUAACGAUAAUUGGCUCUUAGAGAAAUCCUAUCUCAACACAUCCGAUGAUCCUCGAAUUAACGAAAUAUCGGCAAAUACUUGGUUACAGUAAAAAAAAAAAAUAAUCACAGGAAUAGAUCACACACGCGUAUAAAUUAUUCCAAUUAUUAUUUAAACGAGAAGCACGACAAAUUAGGUAGAAACAGCAAGAUAUCAAAUAAAGCGAUGAUAAAAAUUGUACUUUUAUAAGAUUUCACUUUUAAGAAUCGUUGUAAAGCUUCGAUUUUGAAACUAAUAGCUUCGAUUGGAAAAUGAUUCUGACGAAGAAAUUUAAUUCAAACGCGUGAAAGUUAGAAGGUUGAAAAAGUUAACUUUAUCUCUCGAUAUAAUAAGUUCGCAUAUAAAGUUUCAUAUCACCUUUAUUUCCAGGAGAAAUUGAACAAAUUCGAGCCUUCAUUCGAUAUCCAGAAGAUUCCAUCAGAGAA
This 2591-nucleotide long non-coding RNA is filed under the name Apis florea (little honeybee). Its description in RNAcentral is "uncharacterized LOC116414400". Lineage: Eukaryota; Metazoa; Arthropoda; Insecta; Hymenoptera; Apidae. The record is from RNAcentral.